This 4592-nucleotide long non-coding RNA is filed under the name Physcomitrium patens. Its description in RNAcentral is "long non-coding RNA (PPAT_LNC000953)". The record is from RNAcentral. Lineage: Eukaryota; Viridiplantae; Streptophyta; Bryopsida; Funariales; Funariaceae.
AAGUUGAAAUAAAGGAGUUAUUGAAUUUUGAAGUCAGCACAUGCAAUCAAAGGGUAGUAAGUGACCUGAUUUACUAGUGGUUGUGUCUUGAGCUAUAUCUUAAGCAAUUUGAAAAGGAUUUUGCUCAAAAUUUCAAGAAAUGUGUAAUAUCAUGUUAGUAAACUUUUUAUAUAAGUUUUAUGAUAUUUGAGUAUUGGAUUCUUGAGAUAUUAAGAAAAUAGUGCUUAGGUGCUUGUAAAUUAGGGUUUAGAGCGUCUAGUAGGAUUUCUUAGAUGUUAGAAGAUUGGGAGUGAAUUUACAAUUGAUUUUUUUUUGUGAUAAAAGUUAAGGGUGAAUUUUACAUAUCCUAUAAACUUAAGACAAAUUAAAUAGUCAGAUCAAGAGAUAUGAAUUUCUAAAGUUCAAAAAAAAAAACACCUUUUACAAGAAAAAUAUGUUUUGAAGGGAUUUUGUUAUAUUUUGAGUUUUAUGCAAAAUAAAGGAGUUUUGGAAGCUGAGACAAGAUUCAUAUAAUGGUUUAAGCCACACUCUUUUCAACUAGAUAUCCAGUAUAUUUCUAGAUAGCAAAUUAUGCCAUACGACAAACCUUCUGAACCCGACGUGAAAAUUUCUGGGGUAGAGAGUUUUGAUGAAAUAUUUUUGGCUUUCUAUUAUGGAAGGGAGGCAAGGAAGUAGUAGUAGGAAUUGUACUCGAAUAUCUCUAUUUCAACUUGAUCCUACUACAAUUCAAAUGUUUCAAGCAUUUGUACUUUUUAUUCAACAACAUCAAGUAAUGGAACGCAAUGAAGUAAUGGCUAUUAAAGCCUUGCAAUCUAUUGUUGGUUUAUUGGAUCAAUUUGAUAGAAGAAAUAUUUUCAAGUAUCUUAAGUAUUAUUCUUCAAAGAUGGAGCUCAAUAAAGUGUCAGAGAAAGAUAUAAUCCUAACAUUUGAGCUUGGAGUUGUACUAGUGCUUUGUGAGUAUAGAAUGGGGAUUAUUCAAACUCAUGGAAAAAAAUGGGAGGAUUUUAUCCUUCAGCUAAAAGAAGAGUAUUCUUUGGAAGAUGCAGAAAUGGUGACAAGAAAAUCAUUUAUGGAAUGGAUCAAUAAAUCCAACAAGGGGUUGAUUACAAUAGAGUUAUUCUAAGAAUUUGAAAGACAAUUUUUUCAAUUAUCUCGAGUGAAAACGUUUACACUUAAAAAUAAUAAGGUGAAGUAAUUUUUCAAUCAGUUCGCAAUAAUUUACAAAGAGAGUUGGAAUUACUAUUGGAGGAUAAUACAGAGGAUAAUGAACUUAAUAUUGAUUAAAAAAAAGUCUCUGAAGUUAUGGACAUACUUGCUAAAAGAGAGUACCAGAGGGGUAAGGUGGUAGUAAGACAAGAGACUAGAUUUCUACCAACUACAAUAUCUCGUAGAUAAUUGCCAAAACCUGUUAUAUCAAUAAGUACUAUUUCAAUUCCUAUGUCUACAGUUGCACUACAGAAAGAUGUAAUUGAUGAAUUUAUAAAAAGAAUGAAAGACUUACAAAUCAAACUAGUAAAGCUAGAAGAGAAAGAAGGAUUACCUGAGAGUAAAUCUGUAUCAAAGCCAAGAUAUAUACAAAGAUGUAUUUGGUGCGAUAGUAUGGAGUAUCUUCAAAGGCAGUGUAGAGAUUUUACUAAUAUUCUGCAAUAAGAAGUAAUUUUAUGGAAAGAUGGAAAAAUUACAUUGUGAGAUACAGGUGAGUUUCUCAAAACCAAUUUUGGAAAAGGAGAGAUGAAGAAGGUUUUGGAAGAGCAUUUAUCUCAAUAGGCUAUAGCAUCAAGAGAGGUUAUUACUUAUGGCAUUGACAUUGUAAGGAAGAAGGAGGAUGUUUUUGAUAAGCAUGUAAAUACAAGGGAUCUAUAGAAUUAUGCUAUUAUCAGCAUGAAUAAAAGAAAAAUAACAAGGCAGGAAUUACUUAAUACAACCACAAUAAUUAAAAAUGCCAUAGGAUGGAAUGACCCUAUAGAUACUAUGUCUGUACAUGCUUAUUUGGCAAAAUCCGAAUAUGAAGCUUUAGUAGAGGUAAAAAGGGGAAGAAAUGAGAUAGAAGAAAAUUUUGAAGAACCAAUCAACAAGAGGAGAUCCCAAAAGAUGCAGAAACAAUACAAAAUAAAGAAAUAUCUAUAUCACAAGCUAAUAGACCAUCCAAGGCUGAGCCAUCCACAUCACAUCUUGAAAAAGCACCACUGCCAAAAGAGAAAUGGGAAGAAAGGAUGGAAGUUGAUAAAGACAAAGAAAAGAGUAAGCAUGUUACUUAUAAGCUACAAUCAGAUAUUGAGGCAGCCAUAGAUUUGAAAGGAGUGUUAGAAGAAAGAAUAUUGAAUACCAAAAUUGAAUUUACUCUACAAGAAAUUUUAGGCAUUGUAAAGAGGGAAUUUUAUGAAGUCAUCAUUGAGACCAUUAAACAAAAGAGGUAGUUGACAGGAGAAUCUGCUGUAUCUAAUGCUUUGAAUACAAUCUUGACUGAAAAAGAAAAAUAUGAAUUGGUAAAAUGUUGUAUCAAUAAAAAGGUAUAAUUUGAUUUAGAUGAAUACAAAGAUGAUGAUAAUGACCUUGGACACUACACUAAGGGACAUUGGGCCAGAGCCACCACAAAGACUUUAAUAAAAAUGGAAGACUUGGUAGAACCAGUAAUUGCUCUGAUUGACCAUGGAUGUGAAAUUAAUAUUAUAUCAAAAGAAUUCUACAAAUAUGAAAAGUGGUGCAUUGAUAUUAACCAUGGUUGGAUGAUUUGGGCAACAAAUAAUACAUGAAGAGAUCUUUAUGGUGCUUACUCCAUUGUAGAGGUAAAAAUUGGAGAUGUGACCAUAGAACAAAUUUAUUUUGUUCAAGACACUACUUCAUACCUAGUGAUUCUUGGUCAACCAUAUAUUACAAUUGUGAGGAUGGAGAACAAGGUUUUGGAUGAUGGAUCAGCAUGUGCCCAUAUUAAAAGUCAAGAUGGAAAAAGAGUAGUGCAAUUUCUAACAACACUUAUAAACUAUAAGCGCAAUCAAGAUUAUCUACGGAGUGAUUUAUCACCAAGGAUUAUUAGAAAAUUUUAAAAAAUUUUACAGGAUAUCACUAUAGAGUGGAAAUAUAGUGGUACAUCAAAGAAAAUAUUCUUGCAUGGAAAGAAUAAUAUCUUUCAUAUAGGUGUUGUAAAAUUAUCUAAGAAUAAAUUUUUUGUAUAUACACCGCUUAAUGGCUUACAAAAAUGAGAGCAAAGAAGUAUGCAAAAAUCUGAAAAAGACCUAAAAAGAGUAGAUGUGCUUGAUAAAGAUGCUUAAAUAGCAAGUAUAUAUAUAUAUAUAUAUAUAUAUAUAUGGAAACAUAUUUGAAAGAUUUUGGAAGAAAUAAGCUAGAAAUAUAAGGAUAAAAUUAAUAUGUGGCAUUAAUUGAGGCAACAAGGAAUUCGUGAAGAUAUUAGAGAAGACAUAUAUUACUUAACAAAUGAAGAAGUGGAAGACAUGGAUCAAAAAAAGACAAUAUUGGAAAGAUGAUAUAACACCAAUCCCAACUUUGGUUCUUUUUGGUGCAUACCAAAGGAUGCUUAGGUUUAGAGGGGGUGGAUGUCGUGUUGUGGUUUGGCUACUAUAUGAAAAUAUAAUUAUGUACUUAAUAUAUAAUUUAUUUAAGUAACAUGGUGAGAGCCAUGUUAGUAGAUUUAGUUAAUUUUAGAAUAUAAUUUGAUUAUUACCUUGACAAGAGGUUGUUUAAAAAGAUUACUAUAGAAUUUGUAUAACAUUAAUUUCUUUUGAUAGUGGCUUUUAAGAUUGGUUUUGAUUGAUAGUAACUUCUAAAUAUUAAGAGCCACCUCUGUUAGAUAUUGGUGACCUUUGAAAACUUAGUUUGGUUCUUUUAUUUGAUGUUUAGAGCAUAAAUUAUGUAAAUCUUAUAAGAAAAAGGAUUGAAGAAGGAUUUUGGUAGCAAAGGGAGUAAUUAGGGCACCAAUAUAAAUGAAUGGAGAUGGAUGAUGAAAAUCUCCAUUCCUAUUGGUCAAAAAUCAUGACCAAUGGACUUUGAGGAGGCUACUCGAGGCCAUAUUAGAAAUUAGGGUUAGUUUUUUGGGACAUUCGAGCUUUGAAGGAUAGGGUCAGCAAUUUUAGAUUUCUAGCUAUGGUUUUGGUGCAAAUUUUGUAUGAUUUGGAGUUUAUAUGAAGGAGAUAUAAGCACUCAAAGUUAAGGUGUUGAUUUGGGAGCUACUGUCACUCUUUCUGGCAUAAUGCACGAGUACGGAUGGCAAUUGAGGAUCGGCAACUGCGAUUGGAGAGAGUACUUUUGCAACUACAUUUUUUACAUAUUGCUUACUAGAUUCCAAGUUGAAAUAAAGGAGUUAUUGAAUUUUGAAGUCAGCACAUGCAAUCAAAGGGUAGUAAGUGACCUGAUUUACUAGUGGUUGUGUCUUGAGCUAUAUCUUAAGCAAUUUGAAAAGGAUUUUGCUCAAAAUUUCAAGAAAUGUGUAAUAUCAUGUUAGUAAACUUUUUAUAUAAGUUUUAUGAUAUUUGAGUAUUGGAUUCUUGAGAUAUUAAGAAAAUAGUGCUUAGGUGCUUGUAAAUUAGGGUUUAGAGCGUCUAGUAGGAUUUCUUAGAUGUUAGAAGAUUGGGAGUGAA